RNAcentral lists this unclassified non-coding RNA (454 nucleotides) under Hevea brasiliensis (rubber tree). The record is from RNAcentral. Lineage: Eukaryota; Viridiplantae; Streptophyta; Magnoliopsida; Malpighiales; Euphorbiaceae.
CAAUUUUUUCACACCAGACCCCUCUCCAAGGAUACCCAAAUAAAUUAACCUGAAAGAGAGCCUCUUAGCAUCUAUCCUAAAAAGAAACAAACAAGACAAGAAAGCGAAAAGCAUGGACUCCAUCAACUCCUUCAAGGGCUACGGUAAGGUAGAUGAGGUCGAACAGCAGGCCUUCCGACGAAAGACCCGUAAGCGUCUUAUCAUUGUCAUUGUCUCCUCCGUCGUUCUUGUCGCUGUCAUCAUCGGUGCUGUUGUCGGAACUGUAUUACACAAAAGAAACAGUGGCUCCUCCCCUUCCUCCGCCGUCCCUACUGAGCUCACUCCGGCCGCUUCACUCAAAGCUGUUUGCAGUGUCACUCAGUACCCUCCUUCUUGCGUCUCUAGCAUAUCUUCCCUUGAUUCAGCUAACACCAGUGAUCCAGAAGUUCUCUUUAAGCUUUCUUUACAUGUCGCC